This 274-nucleotide ribosomal RNA is filed under the name uncultured bacterium. RNAcentral describes it as "partial 16S ribosomal RNA". It matches the Rfam family "Bacterial small subunit ribosomal RNA", at positions 523 to 796 of the family's 1533-position model. The record is from RNAcentral.
ACACGGAGGGUGCGAGCGUUGUUCGGAAUCACUGGGCGUAAAGCGCGCGUAGGCGGUGGUGUAAGUCGCGUGUGAAAUACCGGGGCUCAACCCCGGGACUGCAUGCGAUACUGCACAACUAGAGCAUGGUAGAGGCAAGUGGAAUUCCCGGUGUAGCGGUGGAAUGCGUAGAUAUCGGGAAGAACACCAGUGGCGAAGGCGGCUUGCUGGGCCAUUGCUGACGCUGAGGUGCGAAAGCGUGGGGAGCAAACAGGAUUAGAAACCCCAGUAGUCC